CCCAGUCCUGCCCCCCCCGCUCAGCCCCGCCCCAGCCUGGGCGGCCAGCUGUCCAGAGCCCUGAGCCCACAGCGGGCGUCCCCAGGCUGCAGAGGGGAGGAAACAGCACAAGACUUCUUCUGCAGCAGAAAUCUGGGCUCCCGGGUUAACGCGCCCUGCGGAGCCCCAGGCAAACUGCACAAAAGCAGCCGGAGGUGCGGUUCGGGGUGACUCUUCCUUGUCGAGCGGAAAUCGGGCAGCGUCUGGGAGGGUCCGUCGUCCCGGCCCUGGUGGGAGGCAGCGGCGGGGAGGCUUGCCGCUCGGCCCGUGGAAAGGCACAGCCUCCCCACCGCAGUGCCCCUCAGAGCAGCCAAACCCCUGCAUUCCGCCCCCGACACGCGGACACCUGCGGCAGGGCCUCCCGGUGUCAUCUGCCCGAUGUCCUGGCCGGGGCCUCGCGGGGCCACCUGCAAGUCAGGCAAGCGGGAGGCUCCAGCCAGGUGAGACUGUACCCGGAGAAUGGAUGAGGACGGCCCGCAUCAAGAAGGGCCCUCAGCUGUGCCCACAGCCAAGGUGGGAAGGUUGUGCUCCCUCUCAGCUGUCACAGGCAGCCCUGAGGCCCAGGGGCCGCUGGCGGGGCUGGGAGAGGUCAGCGACCCCAGGGGGCUGGGUUUGGCCUUCACCCUCUACCCCGUCGACCCCGGGAGUUACCCUCCUGGCUAGAUCCGUCAGAAGGCCAGACUUUGGUUUUAGCGAAAAUGCUGUGAGACACUGAAGGUGCACGGUGGUCACAGAGUCCAAACACUACCUGGGCGGGCCACUCCCAAGUUGCAUGUUGAGGGGCGGGUCUCCAACUUUGCUGCAACUCCCGCGGCCACCAGCAGAUGUGAGGGCACAGAUUAAGGGAAUCUGUGGGAGGUCACUGGGGAAUUUGCAAAUGCAGGUGAUUUUCAGCUGUCUGACACACGCCAAUGUGUGUGAAGAGGGCGGCCACCACCGGCUGCCCCCAGCGCCCAGAGAGGCCCCCGAGGGGAUGUUUAACCAGGGCCACCUGUGUUGAGCAGCCUCAGGAUGACCCCAGUCACCCAGUCAUUCAUGCGUCCCCUCCCUCUAGGCAGCACCUUACCUUACCCCUGAUAGGAUGUGGCAAAGGGGCAGAGGCCAGGCCCACGGUGACGGUGCAGACGACUCCCGGCACACUGAAAGACACCCUCCUGCUGGCCUUAUGGAAGCAAACUGCCCAGUUGUGAACCGUCUGUGAAGGGACACGAGGAUCCGUGUCCCACCACCCGAGAAUGACUUCUGCCCACAGGCUGGGGGACCGCGGAAGCAGACUGCUCUCCAAAGGAGCCUCUCGUGAGACCACAGCCCCAGCCUACACCUGGAGGGCAUCCCGCGUGGGAGCAUCCUGGGGGGGAGGCCUCCCUUCUGGGGAGGACAGCUCCCAGGGGUUAUGCUCCUGGGGUCAGCCCUGUGGACGGACAUCCUCCUGUGGGCAUCCUCCAGGGGGUGGGUUGACUUCCUCCAGGAGAACAUCCUCUGGGAAGAGGGAUAUUCUGGAGGAGGGGGUUUCCAGCAGGUAGGCGUCUUCCUCUGGGGGGAGGUUGUCCUCAGGGGCAUUCUGGGGUGAUUCUCUGGGACGAGCAUCCCCCAGGGACAUACCUGUAGAGCCGGUAUACUCCAGAGGGCAUCCUGGGGGAGGUGUCUUCUCCCAAAGGGAAGGGAUAUCGUGUAGGGGGGGUCCUGGGGGGACACCCUGGGGGCAAUCCCAGCGAGGAAGGGGGCGGGCGCCCUCCGGAGUGACGUUCUCCGGGAGGGGCUGUGCUCGGAGCGUGGGGGGCCUUCUCGGGGCGGACGGCGCCGGCGGCCCCGCCCCCGGCCCCGCCCCGAUCCCGCCCCGGCCCCGCCCCCGGCCCUCCCCCACGCUUCCUCCUUCGCUCACUUUCGCUUCCGCCGGAGCGCGGGUCCCGCCGCCGCCCGAGCAUGGACGACCCGGACUGCGACUCGACCUGGGAGGAGGACGAGGACGAGGACGGCGAGGGCGCGAGCGCUGGGGGCGACGAGGACGGCGAGGCCGGCGCCCCAGGGGACGCGGACGCGGAGGACGAGGACGAGGACGAAGAGGACGCGCCGGCGGCGCGGCCCGGCGCGCUCCAGGUGCAGCCUCGACGCGCGCCGGGGACCCAGCGCCCAGCCCCG
Molecule: long non-coding RNA, 2178 nt
Filed under: Lynx canadensis (Canada lynx)
Lineage: Eukaryota; Metazoa; Chordata; Mammalia; Carnivora; Felidae
Description: lncRNA (ENSLCNG00005010522.1)
Source: RNAcentral